Molecule: ribosomal RNA, 179 nt
Filed under: uncultured soil bacterium
Lineage: Bacteria
Description: partial 16S ribosomal RNA
Rfam family: Bacterial small subunit ribosomal RNA
Source: RNAcentral
AGAGUGAACGCUGGCGGCAGGCCUAACACAUGCAAGUCGAACGGCAGCACAGGAGAGCUUGCUCUCUGGGUGGCGAGUGGCGGACGGGUGAGGAAUACGUCGGAAUCUGCCUAUUUGUGGGGGAUAACGUAGGGAAACUUACGCUAAUACCGCAUACGACCUACGGUGAAAGCGGGACG